GACGAACGCUGGCGGCGUGCCUAAUACAUGCAAGUUGAGCGCUGAAGGUUGGUACUUGUACCAACUGGAUGAGCAGCGAACGGGUGAGUAACGCGUGGGGAAUCUGCCUUUGAGCGGGGGACAACAUUUGGAAACGAAUGCUAAUACCGCAUAAAAACUUUAAACACAAGUUUUAAGUUUGAAAGAUGCAAUUGCAUCACUCAAAGAUGAUCCCGCGUUGUAUUAGCUAGUUGGUGAGGUAAAGGCUCACCAAGGCGAUGAUACAUAGCCGACCUGAGAGGGUGAUCGGCCCCAUUGGGACGGAGCCCCGGCCCAAACCCCUCCGGGAGGCAGCAGUGGGGAACUUUCGGAAAUGGACGAAAGUUUGGCCGAGCAACCCCGGGGGGGUAAAGAGGGUUUUGGGAUCGUAAACCCUUUUUGGUAGGGAAGACCGGUGGGGGGGGGGGAAAGCCCUUCAAGUGCCGGAAACACCCCAAAAAGGGGCGGCUAACUCCGG
This 496-nucleotide ribosomal RNA is filed under the name uncultured bacterium. Its description in RNAcentral is "partial 16S ribosomal RNA". It matches the Rfam family "Bacterial small subunit ribosomal RNA", at positions 28 to 506 of the family's 1533-position model. The record is from RNAcentral.